GUUGUUGCCAUGUUCCUGAAAGCACGGGCUCAGGUCUGACUGACAGGUAUAACCGGUGUGCUGUGCCCAACUUCCAAAGUGCAUUCACAGGUGAGAAGACCGGUUCAGGUCCAUCUCAAGCUGAUAAACUGUCUCAAUCUGACUCAAGGAUCAUCGAGGCGCCAUUCUUCCUCAUACCCGAGCUUGAACUUGUGCUUGUUGGACUACUGUCACAGAAUUGCCUUCGACGACAGUAUUCUGUUCUGACAUCCAGCAGGACUUUUGUUUCUGCUGCUCUUCUCCUGAUCGAAUGCGCAACUCAUGCAACGUAACCAUUGUUUCCACUCCAAACUAGCCUAUAGAGAGUUUAGCGUGAAAACUGUCUCCACAAUCGAUGUGCAUUUUCACGUGUUUGAACUAGCACGUAUUUAUAUAGAUGGCUUUCUGACUGAGAGCACAAUUGUUGUUUUCUAAGCUU
This is a long non-coding RNA of Oreochromis aureus, 457 nucleotides long. RefSeq lists it as uncharacterized. NCBI's taxonomy places the organism in Eukaryota, Metazoa, Chordata, Actinopteri, Cichliformes, Cichlidae. The transcript is spliced from 3 exons. The record is from RefSeq and is a predicted model, not a curated record.